Long non-coding RNA from Dreissena polymorpha, 7451 nucleotides. RefSeq lists it as uncharacterized. The transcript has 4 exons. The record is from RefSeq and is a predicted model, not a curated record. NCBI's taxonomy places the organism in Eukaryota, Metazoa, Mollusca, Bivalvia, Myida, Dreissenidae.
AUGUCUGCCAUCUUUUCCGUGCUGAAAUUUUCUGACACUGACAGUUGUAACAAAAAAUGGCAUUUCGAGGUCGUUCCAGAGAUAGAACAGCACGCUUUUAUCAAGAGAAAGCAGUUCAGCGGAAUGCGAUAUGUUAAGGAGAAGAAUGUCUCAAACACAAUUGUGCUCAAAACAGGAUGUGGGGCCAGUAUUGACAUUGAGGUCGAUAAGGCCAGACCCUCCUAGAAGAAGGAAAUAUGCCUGUUGUUACUUUCACCAGCCAAAAGUCAAGUGUGCCACAUUAAAAUAUGAUGCCUCAACCAGAGGUUAUAAACACGAUCCAGUGUUGAAUGUGACCCAAGGCCAACACGUUGUCUUCAAGUUGGGUGCCCAGAUAAUUUAUGAAGAUACAAUGGCAUCUGGAGAGAGUGGCGUUUGUGAAAAGCUGCACACAAUCCAGGAACCAAUGAUUGUACCUGAAAAAGUCAUUGAGUACCCAGAGGUUCUGCCAAUGAGUCCCCGUGCUAACCCCGCCAACGGAGAGGGAUUUGCUGAGAAUUACGGUCAUGAUGGAAAUGACCCUGGGCCCACUUCACUUGCUCCACGGCCCUCACCCGUCCAUCCAGUACCAUCUAGCCCUCCGUUUGUGGCCAUCCAACAACCAGCGCUUGGGCUUGAACCAGUCAUAGACGGUGUGGCACAGUAUCCCCUUUCAAAUGUUUUUCCCCAGAUGCCUAUGCCCGAGAGCAUCCAGCCUCCAUAUACACCCCAGGGUCCUCCUUAUCAUGCUUUCCCCGUCGACCAGGAGCCACGUCCUUUGGGUUUUGAAUUUGUCCAGCCUCAAAAUCACUAUCAGCUGCCCCGCAUUCAUGAUAUACCGCAAUAUGUGCAGUAUUUUAACCAGGUAUCUUACCCACAUUGACGCCUUGAUACAUUUGGUCAGUUGUUUUACAUGUUUAUAUACACACUGUUGUGUUGUCAUCUUGCCACUCUUGUCAGCUGAGUUAAUUCCAAAUGUCUCAUUUUAUAAAGUUUUUAGCUCACCUGAGCACAAUGUGCUCAUGGUGAGCUUUUGUGAUCGCAUCUUGUCCAUCGUGCGUUGUGCGGCGUCAACAUUUGCCUUGUUAACACUUUAGAGGCCACAUUUAUUGUCCAAUCUUCAUGAAAUAGGGUCAAAAGAUUGGUCUCAAUAAUAUCUUGGAUGAGUUCAAAAAUGGUUACGUUUGCUUGAAAAACAUGGAUGCCAAGGGGCGGGGUAUUUUUCCUUAUAUGGCUAUAGUAAAAUCUUGUUAACACUCUAGAGGCCACAUUUAUUGUCCGAUCUUCAUGAAACUUGGUCAGAAGAUUCAUCCCAAUAAUAUCUUGGACGAGUUAGAAAAUGGUUUCGGUUGCUUCAAAAACAUGGCCACCAGGGGGGCGGGGCAUUUUUCCAUAUAUGGCUAUAUAUGGCUUUAGUAAAACCUUGUUAACACUCUAGAGGCCACAUUUAUUGUCCAAUCUUCAUGAAAUUUGGUCAUAAGAUUGGUCUCAAUGAUAUCUUGGAUGAGUUCGAAAAUGAUAACGUUUGCUUGAAAAACAUGGCUGCCAAGGGGCGGGGCAUUUUUCCUUAUAUGGCUAUAUAUGGCUUUAGUAAAAUCUUGUUAACACUCUAGAGGCCACAUUUAUUGUCCGAUCAUUAAACUUGGUCAGAAGAUUCACCCCAAUAAUAUCUUGGACGAGUUCGAAAAUGAUGCCGGUUGGUAAAAAAAUAUGGCCACCAGGGGGCGGGGCAUUUUUCCUUAUAUGGCUUUAGUAAAACCUUGUUAACACUCUUGAGGCGUGACAUUUAUUUUCCAAUCUUCAUGAAACUUGGUCAAAAGAUUUGUCCCAAUGAUAUCUUGGAUGAGUUUGAAAAUGGUUUUGAUUGCUUUAAAAACAUGGCCAUCAGGGGCGGGUCAUUUUUCCUUAUAUGGCUAUAUAUGGCUUUAGUAAAACCUUGUUAACACUCUAGAGGCCACAUUUAUUGUUCAAUCUUCAUGAAAUUUGGUCAGGAGAUUGGUCUCAAUGAUAUCUUGGAUGAGUUUGAAAAUGGUAACGUUUGCUUGAAAAACAUGGCUGCCAAGGGGCGGGGCAUUUUUCCUUAUAUGGCUGUAGUAAAAUCUUGAUUGUACAGAAUCAUCAAACAAUAAAAAACAUAUUCAAAAGUUUGCUUUCUUCCAGAAUGUAAUUAUCAUUUAUAAUUAAUUCCACUUAAUCUUCUUGUGCUUAAAAAAAAUAUUUUAAAAAGGGAGACAACUCUGUCAAUUCAACAUAAUUUUUCAAAAGCCAUUUUGCAGUUACUUCCCUUGACAUGCUAAACUAGAGUGUUCACAAGCUGUUUUAACUAUAUAAAUAUAAGGAAAAUGACCCCCCCCCCCAGCAGCCAUGCUUUUAUACCAAUCCUAACCAUUUUCGAACUCAACAGUCAUAUCCAGAAAACACAUGUUCUGACCAAAUUUCAUGAACAUUGGACCAAAAAUGUGACUUCUAGAGUGUUCACAUGUUAUCAUUAUAUACAUAUAGAGAAAACUGCCCCACCCCCUGGCAGCCAUGUUUUUUCACCGAUCUGGACCAUUUUCGAACUCGUCCGAGAUAUCAAUGAAACCAAUGUUUUGACCAAGUUUCAUGAUAAUUGUAACUUCUUGAGUGUUCACAAGGUUUCUCUAUAGCCAUAUAAAGAAUACUGCCCCGCCCCCUGGCGGCCAUGUUUUUCAACGGACCAGAACCUUUUUUGAACUCAACCAACAUAUUAUUGAGACAAACAUUUUGACAAAGUAACAUGAAGAUUGGGCAUCAAAUAUGACUUCUACAGUGUUCACAAGGUUUUUCUUUUUUUUGACCUAGUUUUUGACCCAGCAUGAUCCAGUUUCGAACUCAGUCGAGGUAUCAAUGGGACAAAUGUUCUGACCAAGUUUCAUGAUGAUCGGACAAUAAAUGUGGCCUCUAGAGUGUUCACAAGGCAAAUGUUGACGACGCACGACUGACAAAAGGUGAUCACUAAAGCUCACCAUGAGCACGUUGUGCUCAGGUGAGCUAAAAAUAUUUAAAAAUCGGGAAAUAAUUACGGAUCGUCACCUUUAUAGGGCCUUUAACACACAAGAGGCCACAUUAUUGUCCGAUCAUCAUGAAACUUGGUCACAAGAUUUGUACCAAUGAUAUCUUGGAUGAGUUCAAAAAUGUAUGCCCACCUUCGAAGAAGAGGGGGUAUAUUGUUUUGCACAUGUCCGUCGGUCCGUCUGUCUACGAGAUGGUUUCCGGAUGAUAACCCAAGAACGCUUAGGCCUAGGAUCAUGAAACUUCAUAUGUAUAUUGAUCAUGACUGGCAGAUGACCCCUAUUGAUUUUCAGGUCACUAGGUCAAAGGUCAAGGUCACAGUGACAAAAACGUAUUCACACAAUGGCUGCCACUACAACUGACAGCCCAUAUGGGGGGCAUGCAUGUUUUACAAACAGCCCUUGUUCCUUAUAUGGAUUCAUGAAUCUACAUGAAACUUUGUCAGAAUAUUUGUUUAAAUUAUAUCUUGGAUGUGUAUGAAAAUGGUUCUGGUCUGUUCAAAAACAUUGCUGCCAGGGUGUUCACUAGUCAUGAAAGUUGGUAAGAACAUUUUGUUCUAAUGACAUCUUGGGCUGCACAGAACAGCUCAGUUGCUUUGAAUCUCAGGUGAGCGACUUUGGGCCUUUCAGGCCCUCUUGUUUUUAUCACUUGAUCUGAUUACAUUCUCUUAUGUUCAUUUUCCUGGAAUUUUUAUGUCCCCCACUAUAGUAUUGUUUUAGCCCUAUCUGUUGGUUGGUCUGUUGGUUGGUUGGUUUGCGCUUUAACAUUUUGCAAUAACUUUUGCUAUAUUGAAUAUAACAACUUGAUAUUUGGCAUGCAUGUGUAUCUCAUGGAGCUGCACAUUUUGAAUGGUGAAAGGUCAAGGUCAUCCUUCAAGGUCAGAGGUCAAAUAUAUGUGGCCAUUAUCGCUUAUUUUAUGAAUACUUUUGCAAUAUUGAAGAUAGCCACUUGAUAUUUGGCAUGCAUGUGUAUCUCAUGGAGCUGCACAUUUUUAGUGGUGAAAGGUCAAGGUCAUCCUUCAAGGUCAGAGGUCAAAUAUAUGUGGCCCAAAUCGCUUAUUUUAUGAAUACUUUUGCAAUAUUGAAGAUAGCAACUUGAUAUUUGGCAUGCAUGUGUAACUUAUGGAGCUGUACAUUUUGAGUGGUGAAAGGUCAAGGUCAUCCUUCAAGGUCAGAGGUCAAAUAUAUGUGGCCCAAAUCGCUUAUUUUAUGAAUACUUUUGCAACAUUGAAGAUAGCAACUUGAUAUUUGGCACGCAUGUGUAUCUCAUGGUGCUGCACAUUUUGAGUGGUGAAAGGUCAAGGUCAUCCUUCAAGGUCAGAGGUCAAAUAUAUGUGGCCCAAAUCGCUUAUUUUAUGAAUACUUUUGCAAUAUUGAAGAUAGCAACUUGAUAUUUGGCAUGUAUGUGUAUCUCAUGGAGCUGCACAUUUUGAGUGGUGAAAGGUCAAGGUCAUCCUUUUAGGUCAAAUAUAUGGGUCAAAAUUGCUCAUGUAAUGUAACUUCUGCAAUAUUGAAGCUAGCAAUUUUAUAUUUGACAUGCAUGUGUAUCUCAUGGAGCUGCACAUUUUGAGUGGUGAAGGGUCAAGGUCAUUCUUCAAGGUCAAACGUCAUAUAGGGGGACAAUGUGUUUCACAAACACAUCUUGUUCUCAUUUGGUGGUGCUUUUUUGCAUUUUUUUCAUUUUUUGAAUUUUUAAACAGGGCUAUAAUUGUUAAUACAUACCCCGCAUGUGGGACUUAAAAUAUUAACACAAGCUUUAAAAAAUAUCAGUCAGAUAAUAAAUUGAUGGGAGCUUAUUAAAAUGUAUCUCCAUCUCUCUAUCAAGAUAUUGAUAUAAAACUUAAGAUGCAUGUUAAGGGUCUUAAUCAACAUUCACCAAACCAACAGUGACCAGCUUUAUAGCUAGAUUACAUCCUCUUUUGUAUUUAUUAGUCUGGUUAAGAUUUGUGUGCAAUAUAAAACGUAGGUUUUAAUGUUCAUGUACAUAUCUCUGUAACUACUACAGAUAUUCUAUAGAAAGUUCACACAGUUUUGAGAAUCAUCUUGUUAGGUAAGAGCUACAAAGACCCAUAUACCUCUUACCAGAAAUUAUGCUCAUGUUCUUCAUAAGAAAAUGCAGGUAAGCGCGUUUUGCUUUUUUGUGCAGAAAGUUAUUUCUGUUGUUCACAUUUCAUUUUGAAAUGUUCAGGAUUCAUGCAGAGGGAUUAUGCAUAUGUUUAUUUAAGUUUUAUAUUUAUGUUGUUGUUGUUGUUGUUUGUUACAGAAAGUACAAUUUUAUAUAAUUUUUGAAGACAUAAAAACUUCAAAGUUUGAAAAAGUGAGACACACUUUUAAUUUAAAAAAUGCACAUUUCAUUAUUAAAUUGUCAUACAAAUGUGUCUGCAUUUUUUGCUGGAAUUUUAUUGUACAAAUAUCAUCCCAUUUAUUAAGGAUGAAUAUUUAUAUAUUGAACUUCAAUGAUUUUACAAGUAGAAAGUUAUUGAAAGUUAAAUCAUUGAAAAAGAUGUUACAUUUUUAUUAGUUUUUGCAUGUGUACCCUUUUAUAUGUUUGUGAACUGUUUUUGAGAUUAUGAUGUAUUUUACUGAGAUUAUGGACUUUGGGAAAAUUAAUUACUGCUGACAUCGAGUCACAUCUAGUAAUUGUUAGCUAAAAGUUUUUUUACAAUGAACUCUUGUACUGAAUACAAAUUUUGCAUGAUGUCCAUAUGUUUGCAUUACAUUAGCUUUCGUAGUCACUUUGUUUAUUUAUUAUGAACAUGAUACUGUGAUUCUUUAAGAUGAACAAAUACAUGUGAAUAUAAAAAGUAAGAUACACAUACUCUUUCUUGCAUGAUGUUUACUUAAACAAAUCAUAUUGGCAUUGUUAAUGUUGCUAAAAAUAUAUGAGCCUUGUUCUGGGAAAACAGGGCUUAUUGUAUGACUGCACAGGGUAUUCAAGGACACUUUCCACCUGGAUUGGAUUAACCUUUAGAGAAGACUUCAUUUAACCCAUUUAUGCCUAUUUGACUCCCCCAUCCUUCUAAAUUGGAACAAUUUAUUUCCAAAAUUAGGGAUGCCUACAAUAUGAAUUUCUAUAUUUAGAAUAUUUCUUACAGAAAUUCCUUUAAGAAAACAGCGCAGACCCAGAUGAGAAGUCACAUCAUGCGGUGUCUCAUCUGGGUCUACGCUGUUUGCCAAGGCCUUUUGUCUAGACGCUAGGCAUAAAUGGGUUAAACAACAAAUUAAAUUACAGCAGAAAGUGUUCUCCCUGAUAAGCACUUGCAUAAAGUUAAGUAUUCCCAGAACGCAGCUUACAGUAUAGCUGUUCUUGUGUUAUUAUAAAAUGUUGGAAUGAUGUUAUUCAUUUGCAAGGGGGCAUUUAUAUUGUAAAUUGUCACUGAUGUCAGAUUGUAUCACUAUUAGCAUCCAAAGAAGCUAUUCAUAUAAUUGUUGAUUGUUAGGAAACACUCAAAUACGUAGUCCUGUUAACAAAAGCAAUAAUUUUGUUUUCUUACCUGAUGAAAAUAAUUGUUUUUCUUCAAAUUUUGUAAUUAAAUGUAUUUUAUGAAGCGUUAAUUUUGACAUUUUUUGUUUUGUUUAUUAUUGUUUGUGUAAAUUGUAUGUAUUUACCUAUGACUAGGUGGAGGAAUUUAACAUACAUGUAUAUAUAAAUGUAUAAAAUGAAGUUUGUGUGAAGUUAAACACCAUUUAUUACAUUCAAUUUGUAAUAGGCUUGUUUAAAACAGUGGGUGUAUUAUGGGAACAUCUUUGACUUGUGGUGGGCAUCGUCAAGGAAAAUGAUGGAGUAUGUAUUCAGAUGUUUGCAGCAUUCUACUUUAUUGUUCAGCAUGAACUCUGUGCCAUAUGUAGGCUUACUUCAAUCAAUUUGAUCUCAAUGGCAUUGAACAAACUCAUUAUCAAAGCCAGUUUAUUGUGGAUAUUUUAAUUAGAAAAGGAUAAAGCAUAAUUUAAGUUUCGUUCAACAGGCAGCAUACUUUACAACAUUCUAUUACUAGUCUUGGUUUAUCAUUGUAUUCCAUUCUAGUACUAACUCUCAGUCUAUUACAAGGGCUAGUCUAGGUUUUUCCAUUUAUUCAAUGACAACAGUGUAUUACAAAAGCUAGUCUAGGUUUUUCCAUUUAUUCAAUGACAACAGUGUAUCACCUUUUAUAGAUUUUUGUUUGAUUUCUGAGAUUUAAAAGGGCAAUCUGAAGAACUAUUUUUUAGUUUAGUCAUGUACAAGUUUAAGAUUGUUCUGGAAUCUUUGUAUGCGUAUUGCAUAAUUUGUCAUAAAUUGUUCUCAAUGUUGUUUUUGUUUAAAUUCGUGGAAAUGUUUUAUUUUUUAGUUAAACUUAUGAAACUGAUUACUUUGUAUGUUGUAGGCAACACGUCAAAGUAAAUAAACAUUAUACAAACACUGUC